GAGACUUUGAAAUUUCUAUUUCACUGAAACAAUUUUUCGCAGACCACAGUUUUUUGUGGAACCAAACGGCCUCCAGGGUAAAAGGAUAUUUUGCUUUCUUUCUAGUUUAAUUUUGUCUCUUUUCAUGUUAUUGGUCUUCGAGAUGGAUUCUUGGUAGUCAAUUAUUUUAUUAUGUUUUUGAUUAAAGCAAUUUAAUAUAUUUCUAAGUUUUUGUGUUUGGUCAAUCUUUAAGCCUGUAAGUUCAUCUCUUACUUGAUAAGAUGCCAUUCUGUGAGAGAUCUUUAUGACAUAAAGAGGUUCUUGAUCUUUAUGAUUUUUUUUUGUCUUCACGGUUGCUUACAAGUGUUUGUAGUUUUCUGCUGCAAGGAUAAUAUGAUUUCAUAAUGAUUUGUAUUUGCUUGAUUUUCUUGCUAUAAGAUUAUUUUUUAUUCUAUGAAUCAAGACGACAAUUUUUCUGUUAACAGGGAAGUUACUUUUUGAUCUUAUUUCUUAUAUGAAGAACGUAUUACUUUUGGUCGGUAAAUAGAUGCAAUGCUUACAUAAUGCGUAGUAACUGGCUUCCGGCUUUAGAAUUACAAACUUCUUACUUUCUUACGGAAGGUCCUCUUUUCGUCGACCUUUUUUCUCUAGUUCAGCUGUACAUAAUCGUUCGUUUAUUUAUACUAAGUUUGAGCUUUUGGGCUUUGGUAUUGCUUCAAUCACCUUUUGAAAUAAAUUUUAGCUAUGCUAUUUGCAGUUAAAGUUCAUCAUUAUCCGGAGCUUUUUAAUGUAGGCUGAAAUUUUAAUUCAUUAUUAUUUGGACGUGUUUAUAUUUCGGUUUGGUAUGAGUUGCUAUGAAUAGUUGGAGCUUAAGAGUAAAAAAUGGGGAUUUAAUAAAUGGUGAUUGCAACUUUUAGUCACUUUGUUGUCAGUUUCAGUUUCUUGUUAGUUGUUUGGUCACCUUUUUCUUUAUUGAUGGUUUUACCAAUUUAUUUGUAUGAAAGAUUUGGUAUAACUGGAAAGCAUUUCGAGCGGAGUGUAAUGAGAUUUGUGUGUGUGUGUGUGUGUGUGUGCGCGUGUGUCUCAAGCAUUGAAAUUAAUAUUGUUAUAUAUCUUUAUUAUUUCUGCUAUACUUGUGCUUUGAAGAAAUUUAUCAACUGUAUGCUGUGUUUAUCCUUAUUGGCUGCAAAUAGUCGGAGCAAAUAGUGAUGAGUUAGUGAGUUCGAUUGUAUAUUGUUCCCAUUUAUUUUAUUACAUUUUGUGUAGCGAAUGAUAUUGUUCGCACUAUAAAUCCUUACUCUAUUAUGACUUUAGUUUUGUUCUAAUAUAUGUAGUUUCAUAAUAUCUAUAAAUUGAUCUUUUUUAGUUAUUAAGAAAUUUAGACUCUAUUCUUACUGCACUUAGCUAUUUUUAUGGCCAUUAGAGAUCAAAUCUCUUUAGAAACUAUUUUCUUUUUUAAUGAAAUUUAGUAAAAGAAUUUAUGCGAAUGUGUGCCAAGUGCAAAGAACUCAUACCAAUGUGUACUAAAAUGAUAGUGGUGUGCCGCUAGCGUGGAGGGGCGUGUCAGCAUUCGCAUGUCUUGUGCUGCUGUGUCGUGUUGUGCUGUGCCAUUAGUAUGGUAAUCCUUGUAUCACAAAGGAAAAAUAAAUUUUUCGUUCUUUUACUUUUCCUUUAAAACAAUUACAGUCCAAAAACUUUUUUUUUUCCUAAAAAUACCAAACAUCUGAGACUCUGAAAUUUCUAUUUCUCUGAAACAAUUUUUCGCAGAACACAGUUUUUUGUGGAACCAAAUGGCCUCCAGGGUAAAGGAUUUUUUGCUUUCUUUCUAGUUUAAUUUUGUCUCCUUUCAUGUUAUUGGUCUACGAGAUGGAUUCUUGGUAGUCAAUUAUUUUAUUAUGUUUUUGAUUAAAGCAAUUUAAUAUAUUUCUAAGUUCUCAUGUUUGGUCAAUCUUUAAGCCUGUAAGUUCAUCUCUUGAUAAGAUGUCAUUUUGUGAGAGAUCUUUAUGACAUAAAGAGGUUCUUGAUCUUUAUGGUUUUUUUUGUGUUCACGGUCGCUUACGAGUGUUUGUAGUUUUCUGCUGCAAGAAUAAUAUGAUUUUAGAAAUGAUUUGUAUUUGCUUGAUUUUUGUGACGCCCUAACUUUCCAGGGGUCACCCAUCCUAGGACUACUCCCGUCCUAGCACACUUAACUCUCUUAACCUCUUGGACCUUACCACCACCCAAAAUAUUUAAGCCGGGUUAAGAGUUUUUAAUCCUAUUAUAUUUUAUAUAUAGGACUACAUGGGGUCUCACAAUCUCCCCUUUUAAGCCCUGACAUUCUCCUCAGGCUCAAACUCACAAGUACCAGGUGACAUUCUUGUUUAUUUAUACUAAGUUUGAGCUUUUGGGCUUUGGUAUUGCUUCAAUCACCUUUUGAAAUAAAUUUUAAAGUUCAUCUUUUCCUGGAGCUUUUUAAUGUAGUUUGAAAUUUUAAUUCAUUAUUAUUUGGACGUAUUUAUAUUUCGGUUUGGUAUGAGUUGCUGUGAAUAGUUGGAGCUUAAGAGUGAAAAAUAGGGACAAUAAAUAGUGAUUGCAACUUUAAAUCACUUUGUUGUCAGUUUUAGUUUCUGUUAGUUGUUUGGUCACCUUUUUUCUUUAUUGAUGGUUUUACCACUUUAUAUUAAAGAUUUGGUAUAACAGGAAAGCAUUUCGAGUAAUGAGAUUUGUGUGUGUGUGUGUGUUUGUCUCAAGCAUUGAAAUUAAUAUUGUUAUAUAUCAUUAUUAUUUUUGCUAUGCUUGUGCUUUGAAGAAAUUUAUCAACUGUAUGCUGUGUUUAUCCUUGUUGACCGCAAAUAGUCAGAGCAAAUAGUGAUGAGUUAGUUCGAUUGUAUAUUGAGACCAACUAUACAAAUAAGAAGACUUUUUCCCAUUUCUUUUAUUUCUUUUUGUGUAGCGAAUGAUAUUGUUCGUACUAUAAAUCCUUACUCUAUUAUGACUUUAGUUUUGUUCUAAUAUGUAGUUUCAUAAUAUCUAUAAAUUGAUCUUUUUUAGUUAUUAAGAUAUGUUGACUCUAUUCUUACUGCACUCAGCUAUUUUUAUGGCCAUUAGAGAUCAAAUCUCUUUAGAAACUAUUUUCUUUUUUAAUAAAAUUUUGUAAAAGAACUUAUGCAAAUGUGCGCCAAGUGCAGAGAACUCAUACCAAUGUGUACUAAAAUGACAGUGGUGUGUCGCUAGCGUGGAGGGACGUGUCAGCAUUCGCAUGUCUUGUGCUGUCGUGUCGUGUUGUGCUGUGCCAUUGGCAUGGUAAUCCUUGUAUCACAAAGGUUAAAUAAAUUUUUCGUUGUUUUACUUUUCCUUUAAAACAAUUACGGUCGAAAAAAUUUUUCUUUCCGACAUACCAAACAUCUGAGACUCUGAAAUUUCUAUUUCACUGAAACAAUUUUUCGCAGACCACAGUUUUUUUUGUAGCCAAACAGCCUCCAGGGUAAAAGGAUUUUUCGCUUUCCUUCUAGUUUAAUUUUGUCUCGUUUCUUGUUAUUGGACUUUCAGAUGGAUUCUUGGUAGUCAAUUAUUUUAUUAUGUUUUUGAUUAAAGCAAUUUAAUAUAUUUCUAAGUUUUCUUGUUUGGUCAAUCUUUAAGCCUGUAAGUUUUUCUCUUACUUGAUAAUAUGCCAUUCUGUGAGGCAUCUUUCUGACAUAAAGAGGUUUUUGAUCUUUAAGGUUUUUUUUUGUGUCACGGUCGCUUACGAGUGUUUGUAGUUUUCUGCUACAAGAAUAAUAUGAUUUCAGAAAUAAUUUGUAUUUGCUUAAUUUUCUUGCUGUAAGAUUAUUUUUUAUUCUACGAAUCUAGACGACAAUUUUUCUGUUAACCGGGAAAUUACUUUUUGAUCUUAUUUCUUAUAUGAAGAAUGUAUUAGUUUGGUUGGCAAAUAGUUGCAAUGCAUACUAUAUGCAUAGUAACUGGCUUGCUGUUUUAGAAUUGCAAACUUCUUACUUUUUUUGGAAGGUCCUCUAUUCGUCGAUCUUUUUUCUCUAGUUCAGUUGUACAGAAUUGUUCAUUUAUUUAUACUAAGUUUGAGCUUUUGGGCUUUGGUACCGCUUCAAUAGCCUUUUGAAAUAAAUUUUAGCUAUGCUAUUUGCAAUUAAAGUUCAUAUUUCCCUAGAGCUUUUUAAUGUAGUCUGAAAUCUUAAUUCAUUAUUUUUUGGACGUGUUUAUAUUUCGGUUUGGUAUAAGUCGUUGUGAAUAGCUGUAGCCUAAGAAUAAAAAAUAGGGAUUUAAUAAAUGGUGAUCGCAACGCUUAGUCACUUUGUUGUCAGUUUCAGUUUCCUGUUAGUUGUUUGGUCACCUUUUUCUUUAUUGAUGGUUUUGCCACUUUCUUUUAAAGAUUUGGUAUAACAGGAAAGCAUUUCGAGCAGAGCGUAAUGAGAUUUCUGUGUGUGUGUGUGUGUGUGUGUGUGUGUGUGUGUGUCUCAAGCAUUGAAAUAAAUAUUGUUAUAUAUCUUUAUUAUUUCAGCUGUGCUUGUGCUUUGAAAAAAUUUAUCAACUGUAUCAUGUGUUUAUCCUUGUUGACUGCAAAUAGUCGGAGCAAAUAGUGAUGAGCCAGUGAGUUCGAUUGCAUAUUGAGACCAACUAUACAGAUAAGAAGACUUUUUCCCAUUUCUUUAUUACUUUUUGUCUAGUGAAUGAUAUUAUUCGUACUAUAAAUUCUUAUCCUAUUAUGACUUUAGUUUUGUUCUAAUAUAUGUAGUUUCAUAAUAUCUAUAAAAUUAACUUUUUUAGUUAUUAAGAUAUUUAGACUCUAUUCUUACUUCACUCAGCUAUUUUUAUGGCCAUUAGAGAGCUCAAAUAACUUCAGAAAUAAUUUUCUUUUUUAAUAAAAUUUAGUAAAAGAACUUUUCCGAAUGCAUGCCAAGUGCAGUGACUUCAUACCAAUGAGUAAUAAAAUGAGAGUGGUGUGCCACUAGCAUGGAGGGGCGCGUCAGCAUUCGUAUGUCCUAUGCUGCUGUGUCGUGUUGUGCUAUGCCAUUAGCAUAGUAAUCCUUUUAUCACGAGAAAAAUAAAUUUGCCGUUAUUUUACUUUUCCUUUAAAACAAUUACGGUCCAAAAACUUUUAGUUUCCUACGAAUACCAAACAUUUGAGACUCUGAAAUUUCUAUUUCACUGAAACAAUUUUUCGCAGACCACAGUUUUUUGUGGAGCCAAACAGCCUCCA
This 5170-nucleotide long non-coding RNA is filed under the name Ananas comosus (pineapple). RNAcentral describes it as "long non-coding RNA (ACOM_LNC020961)". Lineage: Eukaryota; Viridiplantae; Streptophyta; Magnoliopsida; Poales; Bromeliaceae. The record is from RNAcentral.